Molecule: ribosomal RNA, 253 nt
Filed under: uncultured bacterium
Lineage: Bacteria
Description: partial 16S ribosomal RNA
Rfam family: Bacterial small subunit ribosomal RNA
Source: RNAcentral
UACUGAGGGUGCGAGCGUUGUCCGGAAUCACUGGGCGUAAAGGGCGCGUAGGUGGCGACCCAAGUCAAUGGUGAAAGCUCGAUGCUCAACAUCGAGUCGGCCACUGAUACUGGGUUGCUUGAGCACUGUAGAGGCUAAUGGAAUUCCGGGUGUAGCGGUGGAAUGCGUAGAGAUCCGGAAGAACACCGGUGGCGAAGGCGGUUAGCUGGGCAGUUGCUGACACUGAGGCGCGACAGCGUGGGGAGCAAACAGG